UGCAGUCCGAGCGGACAGAAGGGAGCUUGCUCCCGGAUGUUAGCGGCGGACGGGUGAGUAACACGUGGGUAACCUGCCUGUAAGACUGGGAUAACUCCGGGAAACCGGAGCUAAUACCGGAUAGUUCCUUGAACCGCAUGGUUCAAGGAUGAAAGACGGUUUCGGCUGUCACUUACAGAUGGACCCGCGGCGCAUUAGCUAGUUGGUGAGGUAACGGCUCACCAAGGCGACGAUGCGUAGCCGACCUGAGAGGGUGAUCGGCCACACUGGGACUGAGACACGGCCCAGACUCCUACGGGAGGCAGCAGUAGGGAAUCUUCCGCAAUGGACGAAAGUCUGACGGAGCAACGCCGCGUGAGUGAUGAAGGUUUUCGGAUCGUAAAGCUCUGUUGUUAGGGAAGAACAAGUGCAAGAGUAACUGCUUGCACCUUGACGGUACCUAACCAGAAAGCCACGGCUAACUACGUGCCAGCAGCCGCGGUAAUACGUAGGUGGCAAGCGUUGUCCGGAAUUAUUGGGCGUAAAGGGCUCGCAG
This 535-nucleotide ribosomal RNA is filed under the name Bacillus aerius. RNAcentral describes it as "bacterial SSU rRNA". It matches the Rfam family "Bacterial small subunit ribosomal RNA", at positions 56 to 574 of the family's 1533-position model. The record is from RNAcentral. Lineage: Bacteria; Bacillati; Bacillota; Bacilli; Caryophanales; Bacillaceae.